GAUGAAGAACGUAGCGAAAUGCGAUACGUAAUGUGAAUUGCAGAAUUCAGUGAAUCAUCGAAUCUUUGAACGCAUAUUGCGCUCUCUGGUAUUCCGGAGAGCAUGCUUGUUUGAGUAUCAGUAAACACCUCAACUUCCAUAUCUUUUUUGAAAUGGGAGUUGGACUUGAGUGAUCCCAACGCUUUUCCUCACCGAAAAGUGGCGGGUUACUUGAAAUGCAGGUGCAGCUGGACUUUUCUCUGAGCUAUAAGCAUAUCUAUUUAGUCUGCCUAAAAAACAGAUUAUUACCUUUGCUGCAGCUAACAUAAAGGAGAUUAGUUCUUGUGCUGACUGAUGCAGGAUUCACAAAGACGGCUUCGGCCGACUUUGUAAACUCGAUCUCAAAUCAAGUAAGACUACCCGCUGAACUUAAGCAUAUCAAUAAGUGGAGGA
This 432-nucleotide unclassified non-coding RNA is filed under the name soil metagenome. RNAcentral describes it as "partial contains 5.8S ribosomal RNA, internal transcribed spacer 2, and large subunit ribosomal RNA". The stretch from base 1 to 120 matches the Rfam family "5.8S ribosomal RNA", at positions 35 to 154 of the family's 154-position model. The record is from RNAcentral.